GAUGAACGCUGGCGGCGUGCCUAAUACAUGCGAGUCGGGCGAAUGGAUUAAGAGCUUGCUCUUAUGAAGUUAGCGGCGGACGGGUGAGUAACACGUGGGUAACCUGCCCAUAAGACUGGGAUAACUCCGGGAAACCGGGGCUAAUACCGGAUAACAUUUUGAACCGCAUGGUUCGAAAUUGAAAGGCGGCUUCGGCUGUCACUUAUGGAUGGACCCGCGUCGCAUUAGCUAGUUGGUGAGGUAACGGCUCACCAAGGCAACGAUGCGUAGCCGACCUGAGAGGGUGAUCGGCCACACUCGGACCGCGACACGGCCCAGACCCCUACGGGAGGCAGCAGUAGGGAAUCUUCCGCAAUGGACGAAAGUCUGACGGAGCAAAGCCGCGUGAGUGAUGAAGGCUUUCGGGUCGUAAAACUCUGUUGUUAGGGAAGAACAAGUGCUAGUUGGAUAAGCUGGCACCUUGACGGUACCUAACCAGAAAGCCACGGCUAACUACGUGCCAGCCGCCGCAGUAA
This 515-nucleotide ribosomal RNA is filed under the name uncultured bacterium. RNAcentral's name for it is "partial 16S ribosomal RNA". It matches the Rfam family "Bacterial small subunit ribosomal RNA", at positions 28 to 523 of the family's 1533-position model. The record is from RNAcentral.